UCGACAUGGAGGAAGAGCGAGCGAGGGUGACGAUGUGAAGUUCGCUCGCUUGCUCGCUGUUUGUUACGUAGGAGGACGUGUCGCACUUGUGCAAGAGUAACACGCACAAGGCAGGGAGGCUGCAACGACAAAUCCUAAAAGGUUUUUAACACCGGGACAAUAUCUGAAUAUGAACGGACAGAGGAGAGGUCAGUGCUCCAGGAAAUGAAACGUAUUCCUCACCACAUUAGCUGGAGACACAACAAUAUAUGGAGAUAUUGGGAGCUAUUUGUUCAGCAGAUCAGUUAGAAAUAACGCAGGGAGGAACAGUACAAUAGUACAACCGCCACAGUGAUGAUGAGGUUUGAUGAAGAGCUGCAGACGACCAGCACACCUCCAACAGGUGUCUGGACUACUGUGAGCCUGGAGGACAGCGUGAGGAGCUCAAACAUCCAGAAAUAUAUUACUGCAUCUGAUCAUGAAGCCUCCCAGUUGAACGUAUUCUGGAGUAGACACACUGGAGGGAUUACAUAUUCCCUCUGGCCUGGGAUCCCUGCUACCACCACAGUCUGGACCUAGAUGAGGGGAUUUCCACACCAAGUUCAAAUUUGCGUCCAAGAUAUUUGCACAAAACCAAGCAGAUAGUUAAAUCCUGGUUUCUAUUACUUCUUGCACAUCAAAUAUGUCAUUUUAAUCUAAUAGAAAAUUCUCAAGCAAGUGUGUCACCUCAUGACCUCGCCAUGAUUGGCGGGAGCCAUUACUUCCUUUUCUUUUGUUAACAAACAAGAACAGCAAAACACCUUGAUCGGCGUUACCAUGGUUCCUGACCAGAUGCAUAAAAAGAAAACGAAAUAGAGCAUGAAGAAGUCUUGAAUCUGGUGUUCUUUGUUAUGUGUGAAAGUUAUGCACACACAUUUUUCAGAUUUCUGCAUCAGUAUGUCAGUUUGGACCCAGUGCACAGUGGCUUUAA
This is a long non-coding RNA of Thunnus maccoyii (southern bluefin tuna), 949 nucleotides long. RefSeq lists it as uncharacterized. The record is from RefSeq and is a predicted model, not a curated record. NCBI's taxonomy places the organism in Eukaryota, Metazoa, Chordata, Actinopteri, Scombriformes, Scombridae. The transcript is spliced from 4 exons.